Molecule: non-coding RNA, 27 nt
Filed under: Mus musculus (house mouse)
Lineage: Eukaryota; Metazoa; Chordata; Mammalia; Rodentia; Muridae
Source: RNAcentral
UCCCAGAAAUGAACUCCGUGUGGCCAC